Long non-coding RNA from Aethalodelphis obliquidens (Pacific white-sided dolphin), 3495 nucleotides. RefSeq lists it as uncharacterized. The record is from RefSeq and is a predicted model, not a curated record. The transcript is spliced from 3 exons. Lineage: Eukaryota; Metazoa; Chordata; Mammalia; Artiodactyla; Delphinidae.
UAUUACAAGAUACCGGGUACAGUUCCCUGUGCUAUUCACCACCAUGCUGUAAGGAGGCCCAAGCAGCCAUGUGGAAAGGACAACACGGAGAAGAACCAAGGCCCCUGGCUGACAGCCCAAGCUGAGGUCCCAGCCAGCAGCCAGCACCAAACAUGGAAGAAGGAUCACACUGUCAGGCAGCCUUUGGAAAACCUCACUGUACACUCCUGAGAGAAUGAGAGUGAAAAAGGCAAGUAUUGUCCUCCUGUUGUUAUGAAAAUAGUUUUGACCUCACAGAUCCCCCGAAAGGAUCUCCAAGAACCCCAGGGGCCCCAGGCGUAUUUAUAAAAUUGCUGCUGGAACAGGGAGGGACCACUUCAUGGGCACAGGACCAGUGGAGGCACACAGAGCCCUGUGCUCUGAAGAGCCCCACGUUUGGGGUUUAAUGCUCUGUAGUCGCCAUCAUGAAGUUCUUAAGAAUUUAAUCUUUGAAUUUGUGUUUCAUAAGUGAAAUCCAGUGGGACGACGGGGCAUGCACCAGAGGCUUGGAGCCUUGGCUCAUGCACUGUCCCCCACUUCUGAUGACUCCCUGCCUCCCAGGGACCAGCUUGAGCCACCCACUCCCCCCACCUUGGUGCGUUGGGCCUUACCUGGCCUGCCUUCCUGCCCAGCAACCACUGGCACCCUCGUUCCUGGUGGGAGCCUUGGCUAGGGCAUGGGAAGGAUCAGAGUUGGGCACAGUGCACUCGGUGGUGGCUCAGGCAGCUGACCUCACCCCAGAGUAGAAACACCCUGGCCUCGGGGCAAACCUCUCACCCCUCCCCAAAUCUAGAUACCUACCACGUCCUGGCACGAAGAUCGCAAUACCUUUGAGGUUCUCCCAUUCCUGUGGGUGAGGGCAACUGGCCUAUGGGAAGGGGACAUUGCUGGUCUCGCCAGGGAAGGGAACCUGGCAGCUGCAGUGCCCCGUGCAUGCCUGCUGCCAAGGGGACUGCCCCCUAGGGAGCCUGUGAGGUCUGCACUCAGCCUGCCAGUAGCCCUGGGCCCAGGGGAACCUGACAUUAAAUAGCAAAUUAGAAACACCAGGACAGGUGGAGGGAGGAUCGGGGAGGGAGAGACAGUGAACAAAAGAGAAAAGCUUUUUAUUUUAGUACCUUUGUGGAACUUAUUUACUGCUGUUUGAACCAGGGCCCCCAUUUUCACUUUAUAUGGGAUGGCAAAUUACAUAGCUGGUCCUGUAUAUAGACUCAGGAAAUAAUUAAGACACUUGAGUGUUCCUGCCCUCGGUCCUAAUAAACCUACAAGAGUAAAUUAUCCUAAGUGAAUGAAUUCAAAGGGGAAUUAAAAACUAUAAAUAAAGGUACUUAGAACAGAUGUAAUUAUUUAUAGUCAAAAAUAAUAAUCUAUGAUUGAUAACAGAAAAAUGACUGAGAAAAAUUAGUUUUCCUUUAUCCUCUAAAAUCUGUUCCUCCCCUAAUAUUCUUCAUCUCAUCUCUGUCCACUGAAAAGAACUAGAAAUAAUGACCAAUCCUGAAGAAAUGAGCUUCCUUAGAGGCCAGAUUCUGGUUUCUAAAUAUAUUUCCUAUUAAAGGGAACCGAGGCUCCUUAGAGAAACGGCUGAUUCCAGGUCUAGGGCAGCAGAUGUACAUCUUGACAUACUACAAAGCAAGGAAGCUCUUAAAGAUGAUUGCCAACGGGUCAUAAGACUCAGAAACCCAGUACUUUCAACAAUUCCUGGCAAUUAAUAUGCCUAAACACCAAAAGUGAAAACAAGCCUGUGUGGAUGUGUGGAAAGGUGAAACUGGAACAGUGUUGGCUAUCUGCUUACCCUCUGUAUUCAAAACCUGAUAGCAAAGGACUGUCAUUCAUCUUCUAGCUCAAUACCUGGAACAUGGCUCCAAAAAAUGGUUACUGUUUGGGUGGGUAGAUAGAUGGUUGCAUGAUGAAUAGAAUGGAAAGGUAAGAGAAACUAUAAAAUUGUUUUACUAAUAAAUAAAGGGAUGAUUGUGGAGAGUAGCAAUGCCAGGAGCUUUCUCUUCAAAUUCUAUUCGAGUAGCUAGAAAAAUUCCUAAAAUGAACUAUUUCCAGCAACAAAAGUUUACAAGUUGGUAAAAUCAAGAAAAAAUAAAAGAGAGAAAGAGGGCUGCAAAUUUCGUUGCACUAUACUCAGAAGUGCCAAAGAAAUGUAGCUCUUUUAUUUAUCUUUAAGCAAUCCGACCUUACUGGGUCCCACUGAUUAGGUGACACGGAAACAUGGAUUUUAGUCCGUUCUAGUACAAUUAGUCCCAGUCAGAAAUGGGACCAAUCCCUUUUAGUAAGGCUGCUUCAGAGUCAAAACAACUCAAUCUGUCAGAUUCCACCCUUCUCCUCCAGCUUAUCUCUAAGGUAGCACUUGGGUACAGGGAAGGGGCCCUGGUGACCUCAAGAUAUCGUGGCCUCAUGCUGGCCCUUUGCUCUGUGGGGGCUGGUGACCACUGAGGCGCAGCUGGCCUUGGCCCUGGCUUCUGGUGUCCACAGCUGACCCCUGCAGUUGCUCUAACCUGUAACCUAGUUUUAUUUAUCUUGCUCAGAGCCUGAGGGCUGCUCUCCAGCUGGCUUGACCCCACCGUAGCUUUCACUGAGCCAUGGGCUCCACUGAAUCGCUACCACAUUGUCCAUCUGGCCCCUGACCAGGAGGUCCAGGCAGUGGGGUCACCUCACCACCACCACCACCCCGCAGCAGAUCCAUGGCAGGGCUGCUGGCUCUCAAUUCUACAUUCCGAGGGGGCUAAAAGAGGCUCAGGAAUGAACACUGCAUCUUUUCUCUGGCCACCCUAAUUUUAGACCAAUCACUUUGAUAAGGAGGCCAAAUAGUCACUCUUUCCUGCUCUGGGAAGAUAAGCCUCCUGUCUUAGGGAAGGCUGCAUGGGAACAUUAUUUAAGAGGGAAAUAAAAUACAUCCAUUUAUUGUGUGCAAAAAUAUCGUCACCAAUACGUAAACAAGCAAAAACGAAUCUAAGGAUGAUGACAGUAAAAAGCAGUAAGAGCCUAAGGAAAACUUCUUGACUAAAUCAUCCAGAAGAAAUGUAACAAUUUGGAGAACAAACCUUCAACAUUUUUCUGGCAACUCAAAGUCUAACACACACACCAAAAGGUGCACAAAUCCUAAGAGUAUAGUUCAGUGAAUUUUCAAAAGUGGGUCUACACUUCUGCAAUACCCAGAUCUGGAAAUAAAACAUCAACAGCACCCAGAAGACUGCCUCACAUCAUUUUCAUACCUUGACUUAUAACACCACAGAUUAGUUUCUUGUUUUUGAACUUUACAUAUGCAGGAUUACACAGUAUGUACUCUUUGGGGUUUGGCUCCUUUUAUUCAAUGCAGGAUGUUUGCAGGAUUCAUCUCUGCUCUUGUAUCAGUUCAUUCUGUGUAGAUUUCCAUUGUGAUAAUAUGUCACAAUUUACAUUUCUGUCCAUUGAAGAUGAACACUUGGGUGCUCUCUAGUUUUCAUUUAUUACAAAUUGUACUCCUAUGAACAU